CUCGACUACAUGAAGCUGGAAUCGCUAGUAAUCGCGGAUCAGAAUGCCGCGGUGAAUACGUUCCCGGGUCUUGUACACACCGCCCGUCACACCAUGGGAGUCGAUAACGCCCGAAGUCAGUGACCCAACCUGUAAGGAGGGAGCUGCCGAAGGCGGGAUUGAUAACUGGGGUGAAGUCGUAACAAGGUAGC
RNAcentral lists this ribosomal RNA (191 nucleotides) under uncultured bacterium. RNAcentral's name for it is "partial 16S ribosomal RNA". It matches the Rfam family "Bacterial small subunit ribosomal RNA", at positions 1311 to 1500 of the family's 1533-position model. The record is from RNAcentral.